This 464-nucleotide ribosomal RNA is filed under the name Vreelandella stevensii. RNAcentral's name for it is "partial 16S ribosomal RNA". It matches the Rfam family "Bacterial small subunit ribosomal RNA", at positions 338 to 795 of the family's 1533-position model. The record is from RNAcentral. Lineage: Bacteria; Pseudomonadati; Pseudomonadota; Gammaproteobacteria; Oceanospirillales; Halomonadaceae.
CCUACGGGAGGCAGCAGUGGGGAAUAUUGGACAAUGGGGGCAACCCUGAUCCAGCCAUGCCGCGUGUGUGAAGAAGGCCCUCGGGUUGUAAAGCACUUUCAGUGAGGAAGAACGCCUGGUGGUUAAUACCCAUCAGGAAAGACAUCACUCACAGAAGAAGCACCGGCUAACUCCGUGCCAGCAGCCGCGGUAAUACGGAGGGUGCGAGCGUUAAUCGGAAUUACUGGGCGUAAAGCGCGCGUAGGUGGCUUGAUAAGCCGGUUGUGAAAGCCCCGGGCUCAACCUGGGAACGGCAUCCGGAACUGUCAAGCUAGAGUGCAGGAGAGGAAGGUAGAAUUCCCGGUGUAGCGGUGAAAUGCGUAGAGAUCGGGAGGAAUACCAGUGGCGAAGGCGGCCUUCUGGACUGACACUGACACUGAGGUGCGAAAGCGUGGGUAGCAAACAGGAUUAGAUACCGAGUAGUC